AUUGAACGCUGGCGGCAGGCCUAACACAUGCAAGUCGAGCGGCAGCACAGGAAGAUCGUGCCCCUGCGGGUGGCGAGUGGCGGACGGGUGACGCAUGCAUCGGAAACUUCUUUGACGUGGAGGAUAACGGGGGAAAAGUGCUGCUAAUAGCGGAUACUACCAACCGGAGAAAUCAGGAGUGCAUGAGGCUUUUCCUGAUUGAUUUAGCCGAAGUCGGAUUAGCUAGUUGGGUAGGUAAAGGCCCACCAAGGCAACGAUCCGUAGCCGACCUGAGAGGGUGAUCAGCCACACUGGAACUGAGACACGGUCCAGACUCCUACGGGAGGCAGCAGUAGGGAAUAUUGGGCAAUGGGCGAAAGCCUGAUCCAGCAAUGCCGCGUGGGUGAAGAAGGCCUUCGGGUUGUAAAGCCCUGUUAUUGGGGAAGAACAGAAGCGGAAUAAUACGUCGACGUUUUGACGGUACCCAAAGAAUAAGCACCGGCUAACUACGUG
Molecule: ribosomal RNA, 492 nt
Filed under: uncultured bacterium
Lineage: Bacteria
Description: partial 16S ribosomal RNA
Rfam family: Bacterial small subunit ribosomal RNA
Source: RNAcentral